Molecule: ribosomal RNA, 152 nt
Filed under: uncultured bacterium
Lineage: Bacteria
Description: partial 16S ribosomal RNA
Rfam family: Bacterial small subunit ribosomal RNA
Source: RNAcentral
GGGGAAUAUUGGUCAAUGGGCUUACGCCUGAACCAGCCAAGUCGCGUGAGGGAAGACUGCCCUAUGGGUUGUAAACCUCUUUUGUCAGGGAGCAACGCCGGCUACGUGUAGCCGGACUGAGAGUACCUGAAGAAAAAGCAUCGGCUAACUCC